GAUGAACGCUGGUGGCGUGCCUAAUACAUGCAAGUCGAGCGAACAGAUGAGGAGCUUGCUCCUCUGACGUUAGCGGCGGACGGGUGAGUAACACGUGGAUAACCUACCUAUAAGACUGGGAUAACUUCGGGAAACCGGAGCUAAUACCGGAUAAUAUAUUGAACCGCAUGGUUCAAUAGUGAAAGACGGUUUUGCUGUCACUUAUAGAUGGAUCCGCGCCGCAUUAGCUAGUUGGUAAGGUAACGGCUUACCAAGGCGACGAUGCGUAGCCGACCUGAGAGGGUGAUCGGCCACACUGGAACUGAGACACGGUCCAGACUCCUACGGGAGGCAGCAGUAGGGAAUCUUCCGCAAUGGGCGAAAGCCUGACGGAGCAACGCCGCGUGAGUGAUGAAGGUCUUCGGAUCGUAAAACUCUGUUAUUAGGGAAGAACAAAUGUGUAAGUAACUAUGCACGUCUUGACGGUACCUAAUCAGAAAGCCACGGCUAACUACGUG
This 497-nucleotide ribosomal RNA is filed under the name uncultured bacterium. Its description in RNAcentral is "partial 16S ribosomal RNA". It matches the Rfam family "Bacterial small subunit ribosomal RNA", at positions 28 to 507 of the family's 1533-position model. The record is from RNAcentral.